AACGAACGCUGGCGGCAUGCCUAACACAUGCAAGUCGAACGAGAUCUUCGGGUCUAGUGGCGCACGGGUGCGUAACGCGUGGGAAUCUGUCCUUUGGUUCGGAAUAACAGUUGGAAACGACUGCUAAUACCGGAUGAUGACGAAAGUCCAAAGAUUUAUCGCCAGAGGAUGAGCCCGCGUAGGAUUAGCUAGUUGGUGUGGUAAAGGCGCACCAAGGCGACGAUCCUUAGCUGGUCUGAGAGGAUGAUCAGCCACACUGGGACUGAGACACGGCCCAGACUCCUACGGGAGGCAGCAGUGGGGAAUAUUGGACAAUGGGCGAAAGCCUGAUCCGGCAAUGCCGCGUGAGUGUUGAAGGCCUUAGGGUUGUAAAGCUCUUUUACCCGGGAUGAUAAUGACAGUACCGGGAGAAUAAGCUCCGGCUAACUCCGUGCCAGCCGCCGCGGUAA
This 449-nucleotide ribosomal RNA is filed under the name uncultured bacterium. RNAcentral describes it as "partial 16S ribosomal RNA". It matches the Rfam family "Bacterial small subunit ribosomal RNA", at positions 29 to 523 of the family's 1533-position model. The record is from RNAcentral.